GAUGAAGAACGUAGCGAAAUGCGAUAAGUAAUGUGAAUUGCAGAAUUCAGUGAAUCAUCGAAUCUUUGAACGCACAUUGCGCCCGCCAGUAUUCUGGCGGGCAUGCCUGUUCGAGCGUCAUUUCAACCAUCAGGGCCCUUUUGGACCUGGCGUUGGGGCUCGGCCGCUACCCUGCGGCCGUCCCCGAAAGAUAGUGGCGGUCUCGCUGUAGCCUCCUCUGCGUAGUAGUUACAUCUCGCACUGGAAUGCGGCGCGGCCAUGCCGUUAAACACCCCACUUCUCAAGGUUGACCUCGGAUCAGGUAGGAAUACCCGCUGAACUUAAGCAUAUCAAUAAGCGGAGGA
RNAcentral lists this unclassified non-coding RNA (344 nucleotides) under soil metagenome. RNAcentral describes it as "partial contains 5.8S ribosomal RNA, internal transcribed spacer 2, and large subunit ribosomal RNA". The stretch from base 1 to 120 matches the Rfam family "5.8S ribosomal RNA", at positions 35 to 154 of the family's 154-position model. The record is from RNAcentral.